UACGGAGGGGACUAGCGUUGUUCGGAAUUACUGGGCGUAAAGCGCACGUAGGCGGAUUUGUAAGUCAGGGGUGAAAUCCUGGAGCUCAACUCCAGAACUGCCUUUGAUACUGGGAAGCUUGAGUCCGGGAGAGGUGAGUGGAACUCCGAGUGUAGAGGUGAAAUUCGUAGAUAUUCGGAAGAACACCAGUGGCGAAGGCGGCUCACUGGCCCGGUACUGACGCUGAGGUGCGAAAGCGUGGGGAGCAAACAGG
This 253-nucleotide ribosomal RNA is filed under the name uncultured bacterium. RNAcentral's name for it is "partial 16S ribosomal RNA". It matches the Rfam family "Bacterial small subunit ribosomal RNA", at positions 524 to 776 of the family's 1533-position model. The record is from RNAcentral.